Molecule: ribosomal RNA, 492 nt
Filed under: uncultured bacterium
Lineage: Bacteria
Description: partial 16S ribosomal RNA
Rfam family: Bacterial small subunit ribosomal RNA
Source: RNAcentral
AGUGAACGCUGGCGGUAGGCCUAACACAUGCAAGUCGAACGGCAGCACAGUAAGAGCUUGCUCUUACGGGUGGCGAGUGGCGGACGGGUGAGGAAUACAUCGGAAUCUACUUUUUCGUGGGGGAUAACGUAGGGAAACUUACGCUAAUACCGCAUACGACCUACGGGUGAAAGCAGGGGAUCUUCGGACCUUGCGCGAUUGAAUGAGCCGAUGUCGGAUUAGCUAGUUGGCGGGGUAAAGGCCCACCAAGGCGACGAUCCGUAGCUGAUCUGAGAGGAUGAUGGCCAACAGUGGAGUGGAGAGACGGUCGAGAGCACGAAGGGAGCCAGCAGUGGGGAAGCUUGCGCAAGGGGCGAAAGCCGGAUGGAGCUAUGGCGAGUGAGUAAAGAAGGUAUUCGGAUAUUAAAACUCUGGGAUUAGGGAAGAAAAAAGGUGCAAGGAACUAUGCACGCCUGGACGGUACCUAAUCAGAGAGACACGGCUAACUACGUG